This 191-nucleotide unclassified non-coding RNA is filed under the name uncultured Russulales. Its description in RNAcentral is "sequence contains ITS1". The record is from RNAcentral. Lineage: Eukaryota; Fungi; Basidiomycota; Agaricomycetes; Agaricales.
UCGAAAUAUGAAGGUCUUUCGUGCUGUUGCUGGCUCCUUCGCGGGAGCAUGUGCACGCUCGUCUGGCCGCAUCCUUCUCUUUACCCCUGUGCACCUCUGCGUGGGUCCAAAGCGAGAGCUUCGGAUCCACGUCCCUUAUACACCCUCAUGUAUGUCUUCAGAAUGUCUCAUGCGAUAAAAAGCAUUUAAUA